This 305-nucleotide ribosomal RNA is filed under the name uncultured bacterium. RNAcentral describes it as "bacterial SSU rRNA". It matches the Rfam family "Bacterial small subunit ribosomal RNA", at positions 335 to 657 of the family's 1533-position model. The record is from RNAcentral.
UUUCCUACGGGGGGCAGCAGUGGGGAAUAUUGGACAAUGGGGGAAACCCUGAUCCAGCGACGCCGCGUGAGUGAAGAAGUAUUUCGGUAUGUAAAGCUCUAUCAGCAGGGAAGAAAAUGACGGUACCUGACUAAGAAGCUCCGGCUAAAUACGUGCCAGCAGCCGCGGUAAUACGUAUGGAGCAAGCGUUAUCCGGAUUUACUGGGUGUAAAGGGAGCGUAGGCGGCCCUGUAAGUCUGAUGUGAAAAUUUGGGGCUCAACCCCAAACGUGCAUUGGAAACUGCAGGGCUUGAGUGCCGGAGAGG